Paramuricea clavata is the source of this 1432-nucleotide non-coding RNA. The record is from the annotation of a GenBank genome assembly. NCBI's taxonomy places the organism in Eukaryota, Metazoa, Cnidaria, Anthozoa, Malacalcyonacea, Plexauridae.
GAUCAACUGCUGAAGAAGUGGAAUUUUUGGAGAACUUUGAGAAUUUGUGCAUGGGUCUCGAGAUUUGCUCGUAACGCUGGUAGAGUGAAUGAAAGCGUACGUGGCCCAUUGUCAACCGAAGAGAUCCAAGAACGAGAAGCAUGGUGGAUAAUAAAGGUACAAAGAAGAAAUCGAGAUACACCGGAAUUCGAAGAAGAUCGUGCGAGAUUAAACCUUAAACCGAGUGAUGGUGGCAUUCUUGAAUGUCAUGGCCGAAUACAAGGAGACUAAUUCCCAACCUACCUCCCUGACAAUGACAUAUACACCGAGAAACUAGUGAAACAUGCUCACAAUGUGACCCUCCAUGGGGGAGUGGGUCUGACUAUGGCUAAGGUACGAGAGAGCCACUGGAUUCCACGACUGAGGAGACUUACUAGAAGAGUUAUCAAGAACUGUUUCGGAUGUAGACGGUUCCAUGCAACACAUUUUCCAAACCCACAACCUGGGAAAUUACCGAAAGAUCGGACUGAGGGUGAUUUGCCUUUCCAAGUCGUAGGGGUCGACUAUGCGGGUCCAAUUAGGUACCAGAAACGGGGAAAGCAAGAAGGCAAGGCCUAUAUAAUUGUAUAUGCGUGUUCUUUGACCCGUGCGAUGUAUCUCGAGUUAACGAAGACCAUGAGUACAGAAGAAUUCCUUUCAACAUUCAAACGAUUCGUCGCGAGGAAAGGGCGCCCAUUGAAAGUGUAUUCCGAUAACGCGAAGACAUUUGUUGCCGGGGCGAAGUGGAUAAAGCAAGUUAUGAAGGACGAAAAGUUUAAUGAUUUCCUGGCUAAGAUGUCGAUCAAGUGGCAAUUCAACAUGAGUCGAGCUCCUUGGUGGGGCGGACAGUACGAGCGGUUGAUUGGACUUGUAAAACAAGCUAUGUACAAGUCCAUUGGUAACGGGUUUCUCUCCUGGACGGAGUUGGAAGAUGUCAUCCUGGACGUGGAAGUGACGUUAAACAACCGACCUCUCAGCUACGUAGAAGAAGACGUCCAACUGCCCUUACUUACACCGAAUACGUUGCAAUUCGGCCGACCAAACAUAUUGCCAGAACAACCAGAGCAUCAAAUCGAUAAUCUCGAUCUCCGCAAGAGAGCAAAGUAUAUCCGGCGAUGUAAGGACGUGUUGUGGAAAAGAUGGUCUUCUGAAUAUUUGAAGGCUCUCCGAGAGCGGCAUAACAUGAAACAUCACGGUAAAGUUGUAAGUAUAAAGAUUGGAGACGUCGUUAUCGUGAAAGGCGAGGAAAAUAAUCGGGGAAAGUGGAAAACCGGAGUUGUAGAACGACUCGUAGUGGGUAAAGACGGUAUCGUACGGGGAGCGAAACUACGAGUAGGACAGAACACAUUAGAACGUGCAGUUCAACACCUAUACCCUAUGGAACUGUCCUGUGACGUAGCCGUAAAGACGCCAG